AAAUGAAUUGACGGGGGCCCGCACAAGCAGUGGAGUAUGUGGUUUAAUUCGAAGCAACGCGAAGAACCUUACCAGGGCUUGACAUAUACAGGAAUAUAUAAGAGAUUAUAUAGCUCUUCGGAGCCUGUAUACAGGUGGUGCAUGGUUGUCGUCAGCUCGUGUCGUGAGAUGUUGGGUUAAGUCCCGCAACGAGCGCAACCCCUGUUUCUAGUUGCCAGCACGUAAUGGUGGGAACUCUAGAGAGACUGCCGGUGAUAAAUCGGAGGAAGGUGGGGACGACGUCAAAUCAUCAUGCCCUUUAUGUCCUGGGCUACACACGUACUACAAUGGCUAUAACAAAGAGAAGCGAAGCAGUGAUGUGAAGCGAAACUCAUAAAAAUAGUCUCAGUUCGGAUUGAAGGCUGAAAUUCGCCUUCAUGAAGCCGGAAUUGCUAGUAAUGGCAGGUCAGCAUACUGCCGUGAAUACGUUCCCGGGCCUUGUACACACCGCCCGU
Molecule: ribosomal RNA, 494 nt
Filed under: uncultured bacterium
Lineage: Bacteria
Description: bacterial SSU rRNA
Rfam family: Bacterial small subunit ribosomal RNA
Source: RNAcentral